AAAAUAAUCCUACCCUUUGUGAAUUUUGUUUGUUUGAAUAAUUUUUUCUUUUUAAAAAAUUAUUGGAGUCUUUCCCUUUAGAGUUUGCUUUUGAGUUUGUAAAAGAAUUCGAAAACAUCUAAAGGGGAUGGUCAAUAAUUUUUUUGAAAAAAGACAUUUUUUAAAAUUAAACUUUUUGUAUUCAUUUGUCUAAAAAUUAUUUUUAUAAUAUAAAAACAACUUUUGACAAUGGAUCUCUUGGUUCUCGCAACGAUGAAGAACGCAGCAAAAUGCGAUAAGUAGUGUGAAUUGCAGAAUACGUGAAUCAUCGAAUCUUUGAACGCAUAUUGCACUUUUUUAGUUUACUAAAAAAGUAUGUCUGUUUGAGUAUCAGUAAAAUAUUCUCAUAAAAAUCAUUGUGUAUUUUUAUGGUUAUGAGUGUUUUACAACGAUACAAGUUGUUUCACUUUAAAUUUUUUUUUAAUAUUGAAAUUUUUCUAAUUUUAAUAAUUAAAAUUGGAUAAAAUUUUCCCGUCAAAAGGAAUAACCUAAACAAUUUUAAAUGAUUAAUUUUAGCAAAAUUUUCGUAAAAAAGGAAAAUUUUUAUUAAAAUAACUUGAUCUCAAAUCAGAUAAGAGUACCCGCUGAACUUAAGCAUAUCAAUAAGCGGAGGAAAAGAAACUAACAAGGAUUCCCUUAGUAACGGCGAGUGAAGCGGGAAGAGCUCAAAUUUGAAAUCUUCAAGGUUUUACCUUGACGAAGUGUAGUUUAAAGAAGUGUUUUCUGCUGAAGUUUUGGUAAAAGUUCUUUGGAAUAGGACAUCAUAGAGGGUGAGAAUCCCGUAUUUGACCAUUAUUUUCAGCUUUGUGAUACACUUUCAAAGAGUCGGAUUGUUUGGGAAUGCAGUCCAAAAUGGGUGGUAAAUUUCAUCUAAAGCUAAAUAUUGGCGAGAGACCGAUAGCGAACAAGUACCGUGAGGGAAAGAUGAAAAGAACUUUGAAAAGAGAGUUAAACAGUACGUGAAAUUGUCAAAAGGGAAGCGUUUGACACCAGUGUUGUUUUCUCGAAAAUCAAUUAAAAAUGGCUCGAUUUUGUAUUGCUGAGACCUUAAAAGCUCACUGUACAUUUUUCGUGUCUUUUUUAAUGCACUUUUCGUUUAACAAGUCAACAUCAGUUUCUUUUGUUGUAAAAGGGUCAUUGGAAGGUGGCUUUCUUCUCGGAGAAAGUGUUUAUAGCCUUUGGCCUCUGCAAUCGGAGAGACUGAGGUCUGCAGCGUAGACUCUUCGGGUUAGAUACAUUUGUGCUAAGUUAUAGCUUUUUAUAGACAACUUGUUGACUAUAAUUAGUCUUGUAGCUUACUCGCUUAUGCUAUUU
RNAcentral lists this unclassified non-coding RNA (1353 nucleotides) under uncultured Neocallimastigales. RNAcentral describes it as "partial contains internal transcribed spacer 1, 5.8S ribosomal RNA, internal transcribed spacer 2, and large subunit ribosomal RNA". The stretch from base 597 to 1353 matches the Rfam family "Eukaryotic large subunit ribosomal RNA", at positions 1 to 617 of the family's 3401-position model. The record is from RNAcentral. Lineage: Eukaryota; Fungi; Neocallimastigomycota; Neocallimastigomycetes; Neocallimastigales.